UGGACCUCAGAUCAGGCAAGAUUACCCGC
RNAcentral lists this ribosomal RNA (29 nucleotides) under Syzygiella autumnalis. Its description in RNAcentral is "partial 26S ribosomal RNA". The record is from RNAcentral. Lineage: Eukaryota; Viridiplantae; Streptophyta; Jungermanniopsida; Jungermanniales; Adelanthaceae.